Doryrhamphus excisus (bluestripe pipefish) is the source of this 2642-nucleotide non-coding RNA. Lineage: Eukaryota; Metazoa; Chordata; Actinopteri; Syngnathiformes; Syngnathidae. The record is from RefSeq and is a predicted model, not a curated record.
UGCUAGCCCCUCUGGGAAUCAGGUGUCCGUGCGUAUCUAGUAGCUCAAGCUGGUUGAAAUCAUCCGGAAAAUCCAUGCUGGGCGUCUGUUUAUAAGAGUAACAUGGAAUACGGUGCUCUUCAGAGGUUCUGGAACAGUCAGGCCAAUUCCUUCAUUUUCAUCUGUAGACUGGGUUUCCUGUGCAAAGGAUCUUGAGCUUUUAAUGGACGAUGGCCAUGAAGUCCACCACGAUGAAGAGCCCUCAUAACAGUCGCAUUGAACCAAAGGAAGUGACAAUCACCUUUUUUUUCAGAGAUCUAUGGAUUUUUGUUCACAUGGUCUUGAAAGUUCUGAUCAUCUCGCGUUUUCGACCACGGCCAGGUUUAUUUUUGACAUAAUUUGUUUCUUUCUGCUUUGCAAUGAUGCAUUGCAUCUGCUCCUUACUGAUUAAGGGAGAAAAAAAUUAGGAGCAUCUCUAGACCAGUCCCUUUCCAUCAAGUGGUCAGGUACACUAACCCUGUCUCUUGGGGUCACAACAUUACGUGUUAAUUGGCUGCUCAGGUGUGAUUCUCACUAAAUUGACUAACUUUACUUUAAAGUUAUUUAAAUUGAGUAACUUUCUCUCAUACAUCUUGAAUAUUAAUUUUCUAUUCAAGUGUACCAAAAUUGGACCAUAUAAUCGAUGAAUGGUUUACAAUAUACAGUGGUACCUUGGUUAACACCCUCCCCAGUUAAGACAUUUUUUGGUUAAUAUCCAAAAUUUAUGCAGAAAUUCUGCUGUGGUUUGCCUGCAAUAUGGUGUGCAUAACAAACUGUUGUGUUUGUGCUUUGGUUUGUUUAUGCAUCUUGGAUCACAUCAAAACAAAAUCUUGCAAAACUUAGUUCAGACUUUACUACUCUUCGACUACUUUCUACUUUCUUUCUAGAUGGUAAGCGUGUCAACUACAGGUAAAACGAUUUUAAAUGUCCAUUUCUUAUGUCCUGUUUUAUGGCAUUAUUUUUUUGAAUAUAGUUGGGUUUACAUUAGAGGUCUACACGGCUGUGCUUUUCCUCGGCCGCCCUGCCCCACGGCCGUGGCACGACAGCCACAGCCGUCCACAGCCGUGGUGAGAUUUGAAUAAGCGCAAAAAUUAAAUUACCUCUUUUCAGCUCAAGAUAGUAUAAAUUGUGUGGAAAAAGAUGAUAUAAGGAAGGAUUAUGGACAAUAUAGGUGGACUUUCAAGAAACAAAUGAGGCUAUCAAUAUUUUUUUAUAUUAGUUUUCCACAGCCGUGGCCAUGUUCUUGAGAUUUCUUCAGCCCGCCUCGCCCCAUUAGCCGAUGAGUCCGGCCAGCCGUGGGGCCAGCCGCUCCGUGUAGACCUUGAGUUUACAUUAUUUUUCACUUGUUUUGGAUAGAAUCCGUUUUGGUGUGAGUCGGAUCUUCUGGAAUGGAUUAAUGAUGCGAACCGAGGCACCACUCUACAAUGUUAUGCAUAUGUUGUACAAGGUUAUGAAAAUGUUCAAAAGUUCCUAUUUGAUUAAAAUCGUAUCAAGUCAAGUGUUUGGGAGUGUAACCAACAGUGGAGUGGCCGUGCUCGGAGGUGGCUGUGGGUGGAAUAAAUUAAAAGGGACAAUUUUGGAAAGCCAAGGAAAUAUACCUGGAAAAGGUGCAGAACCACAACUCAAGACAAAUGGUUGAAAAUGAGCAUAAUAAGUCUCCAAAAUAAGGCAAAAUACUGUAAGCAGUGUCAUAAACAUACCCGUUGCUACAUGGCCACAGUAUGAAUACAAAACAAUAAAAUGCUGUUGGACGUUUUGGAGGUGUUUUAAAAGAGGUCUCUAUAGGCAGACUAAGUGAAUCCCAUUAUGUGCAUUGUUAGCUGCCAAAAAAAGAGAACGACAUGGAUGGCCAUGUCUCACAUAAGAAUCGUGGAUCAUAAGCAAAGUUCCUUUAACUGCAUUUUAAGCAUAAACAUGCUUAUAAACAUGCUUGUUAAUUCACAGAAUUACCUGCAUAACCAUGCCUACAAAUACUCUGAAACACUUCAUCUGCCUUGGGCCUCUUCAUAUACCGUAACAGAUGGAAGACAGUCAUUGCAAAGCACAAUGUACUUUCCGACAGUGAAUACGUUUUCACAGCAGUCUUCAACAGCAUUUAUUUAGCGGCAAUUGAGUACUAUUGACCGAAAGAAACAUGCAAUUGGAAGAUUCGUUGAAGAUUUAUUGAGCUGUAAGAGGACCUAUUAUGCUCAUUUUUCAGCCCUUUGUAUUGAGUUGUGGACUCCUGUAGAGUUGGCCAAUUUAUCACAUCUACUCUUCAGUGGUUUGGUCACUGGUUCCUCGUCCGUCCAUCCAUUUUGUAUACCGCUUUAUCCUCACGAGGGUCGCAGGCAUGCUGGAGCCUAUCCCAGCUGUCUUCGAGCGAGAAGUGGUAUACACCCUGGACUGGUUGCCAGCCAAUCACAAACAACCAUUCACACUGUGGGAAGAAACUGGAGUACCAGGACAAAGGUGCAGAUAGAAAGGCUUCACAAAAAUAGAUUCAUUGGGUCAUAAAAUGUGGAGGAGCUGAAGUAUCUAUGAAGUAUUGUUCUUCAGUGAGACUGACAUACAGACCGACCGACAUCUGCAUUAAGCUGGUCGCUAUGCCUGCAUUGUCAUGGUGGAGAGAGCGCUGUGCCCGA